AAGCGGCGGAGCAUGCGGAUUAAUUCGAUGCAACGCGAAGAACCUUACCAAGGCUUGACAUACACCGGUAACGCCCAGAGAUGGGUGCCCCUUUGUGGUCGGUGGACAGGUGGUGCAUGGUUGUCGUCAGCUCGUGUCGUGAGAUGUUGGGUUAAGUCCCGCAACGAGCGCAACCCUCGUCCUAUGUUGCCAGCGGGUCAUGCCGGGGACUCAUGGGAGACUGCCGGGGUCAACUCGGAGGAAGGUGGGGAUGACGUCAAAUCAUCAUGCCCCUUAUGACCUGGGCUACACACGUGCUACAAUGGGCGGUACAAAGGGUCGCGAACCCGCGAGGGGGAGCCAAUCCCACAAAGCCGGUCGUAGUCCGGAUCGCAGUCUGCAACUCGACUGCGUGAAGUCGGAAUCGCUAGUAAUCGCGGAUCAGCAUGCCGCGGUGAAUACGUUCCCGGGUCUU
RNAcentral lists this ribosomal RNA (454 nucleotides) under uncultured Curtobacterium sp. RNAcentral describes it as "bacterial SSU rRNA". It matches the Rfam family "Bacterial small subunit ribosomal RNA", at positions 927 to 1382 of the family's 1533-position model. The record is from RNAcentral. Lineage: Bacteria; Bacillati; Actinomycetota; Actinomycetes; Micrococcales; Microbacteriaceae.